CCCUUAGAUGUCCUGGGCCGCACGCGCGUUACACUGAUGCAUUCAACGAGUUCCUACCUUGGCCGAGAGGCCUGGGCAAUCUUUUGAACUUGCAUCGUGAUAGGGAUAGAUUAUUGCAAUUAUUAAUCUUGAACGAGGAAUUCCUAGUAAACGCAGAUCAUCAAUCUGCAUUGAUUACGUCCCUGCCCUUUGUACACACCGCCCGUCGCACCUACCGAUUGAAUGGUCCGGUGAAGCCUCGGGAUUGUGGUUAGUUUCCUUCAUUGGAAGUUAGCCGCGAGAACUUGUCUAAACCUUAUCAUUUAGAGGAAGGUGAAGUCGUAACA
This 326-nucleotide ribosomal RNA is filed under the name uncultured eukaryote. RNAcentral's name for it is "partial 18S ribosomal RNA". It matches the Rfam family "Eukaryotic small subunit ribosomal RNA", at positions 1470 to 1796 of the family's 1831-position model. The record is from RNAcentral.